This 1744-nucleotide long non-coding RNA is filed under the name Nicotiana benthamiana. Its description in RNAcentral is "long non-coding RNA (NBEN_LNC005193)". Lineage: Eukaryota; Viridiplantae; Streptophyta; Magnoliopsida; Solanales; Solanaceae. The record is from RNAcentral.
CGUAUCUCAAGAUCAAACUCUUGUAGCGACAACACCAAAUGAAUCAGGCGUGGCUUAGAGUCUUUCUUCUCUAUCAAGUAUCUAAGAGCUGCAUGUUCAGUGUAUACAAUUACCUUCGAUCCUAUCAGGUAGGAUCGAAACUUGUCGAAUGCAAACACCACAGCUAACAUCUUCUUCUUGGUCACUGUGUAAUUCAGUUGGGCCUCACUCAGCAUUCUACUUGCAUUGUAGAUUGGAUGCAUCAAUUUGUCCUUCCGCUGGCCCAGCACCGCCCCCACUGUAUAGUCACUAGCAUCACACAUUAGCUCGAAGGUUGCUCCUAGUUGGGGGAAACAAUGAUUGGUGUUGUGACCAGCUUUUGCUUCAGCUCUUCAAAUGCUACCCUGCAUGCAUCAGAAAAUAGAAACGGGUUAUCUUUUUCUAGCAACUUACAGAGAGGGUUGGCGAUUUUGGAGAAGUCUUUAAUGAACCGUUGGUAGAAACCGGCAUAUCCAAGAAAGCUUCUGAUUUUAUUGACCGUGGUUGGUGGAGGCAAUUUUCCUGUGACAUCAACUUUGGCUCGAUCGACUUCUAUCCCCUUGCUUGACACUCGGCGCCCCAAGACUAUGCCUUCUUGCACCAUGAAAUGGCACUUUUCCCAGUUCGAUACCACAUUAGUCUCAAUGCACCAUUUCAACACACGUGUCAGAUUCUCAAGGCACUUAUCAAACGAAUUCCCCACCGCGGAGAAAUCAUCCAUGAACACCUCCAUUAUGUCUUCAACCAUAUCAGUGAAAAUGGCCAUCAUGCACCGUUGGAAUAUGGCGCGUGCAUUGCAAAUGCCAAAUGGAAUCCUCCUGAAAGCAUAAAUGCCAUAAGGCCAUGUGAAGGAGGUCUUUUCGCUGUCCUCAGGUGCAAUGGAUAUCUGGUUGUAUCCUGAGUACCCGUCAAGAAAGCAAAAGUGUGACCUCCCUGCCAAUCUGUCCAGCAUCUGAUCAAUGAAGGGAAGUGGGAAGUGGUCUUUCCGGGUGGCAAGAUUCAACUUUCUAGUCCAUGCGUAUCCUCCAACCGGUGACGGUUCUUGUUGAGAUCAAUUCAUUUUUAUCAUUCUUCACAACCGUCAUGCCACCCUUCUUAGGCACAUAUUUAUCUGGGCUAACCCAGCUGCUGUCAGAAAUUGGGAAGAUGAUUCACGCUUCCUACCACUUUAUUACUUCCUUCUUCACCACUUCCUUCAUAUUCAGGUUUAGCCUUCUCUGAUGUUCCUUGGAAGGUCUAUGUCCCUCUGUCACGUAUCUCAAGAUCAAACUCUUGUAGCGACAACACCCAAUGAAUCAGGCGUGGCUUAGAGUCUUUCUUCUCUAUCAAGUAUAUAAGAGCUGCGUUCAGUGUAUACAAUUACCUUCGACCCUAUCAGGUAGGAUCGAAACUUGUCGAAUGCAAACACCACAGCUAACAUCUUCUUCUUGGUCACUGUGUAAUUCAGUUGGGCCUCACUCAGCAUUCUACUUGCAUUGUAGAUUGGAUGCAUCAAUUUGUCCUUCCGCUGGCCCAGCACCGCCCCCACUGUAUAGUCACUAGCAUCACACAUUAGCUCGAAGGUUGCUCCUAGUUGGGGGAAACAAUGAUUGGUGUUGUGACCAGCUUUUGCUUCAGCUCUUCAAAUGCUACCCUGCAUGCAUCAGAAAAUAGAAACGGGUUAUCUUUUUCUAGCAACUUACAGAGAGGGUUGGCGAUUUUGGAGAAGUCUUUAAUGAACCGUUGG